UUGUUUUUUUUGGCCAGUAACCGCACAGGAGUUAGUAAUGAAAGAUUGGUCACAAGAAACCAAAAAAAAAGGGGGGGGGGGGGAGACCUUUUUGUGUUUGUGAGGAAGAUUGCAAGUAAACGGUUUAGCCAUGUUCCUUUGUCCUUGAGCCAUCUUCCCCACCUCUCACUCCUCUGUCGGACCCAUAUCCUUAUGUUCCCCUUCAUCAUUCGCCAAUUGUCAGGAUUUGGACACGGUUUUAGUACUAGAUAAAUGUAUAGCUGCAUCAAAGCAAGGACCUUGCACCUUAGAGGAGAAUAAAGUGCAGCAAGGGAAAGUGGCGCAUGAUGAAACAGUGGGGACUGGACUUUCCAAUCGGCAUUCAGGAGCUACCACAUCUUUACAGACGGACUCGCCGUCCUUGCUUCUAGGGCAGAGGAGGCACACCAGAUCAAUGCUGGGACCUGCACAGCACCAUGUGACAGAAACAGUGAAUCCAAGCUCAGGUGACACAAUGGAGGACAUGGUAGAGAUGGAUUAUGCUCAACCACACCGAAAACCGCCCAUCCACAAUGAAAAGCCCUAGCUGCUUAAUUGCUGAUAAUGUCCAUAUCCAUGUGCUUAAUUGCUGAUAAUAAAUUAAUUUUUUUUUCAAGUCAAAAAGUGAGACUACUACUUUUUAGUUUGUCAAAUCUGUAAGCUGGGAUGUAAGAUUCCAGUGACAUGCUAUUUCCUGGGAAAGUGUCAAAGGAUCCUGUUUCCGUAUCCCCUAAAAUAUUUGAAUUGAGUGAAGAACAAUCUAAAAAAUCUGAUGAAUAAUGUAGUUUCAGCUUUCUCUGGUUUGAGGUA
Prosopis cineraria is the source of this 828-nucleotide RNA transcript. RefSeq lists it as uncharacterized. The record is from RefSeq and is a predicted model, not a curated record. The transcript is spliced from 4 exons. NCBI's taxonomy places the organism in Eukaryota, Viridiplantae, Streptophyta, Magnoliopsida, Fabales, Fabaceae.